This 753-nucleotide ribosomal RNA is filed under the name uncultured Comamonadaceae bacterium. Its description in RNAcentral is "bacterial SSU rRNA". It matches the Rfam family "Bacterial small subunit ribosomal RNA", at positions 28 to 776 of the family's 1533-position model. The record is from RNAcentral. Lineage: Bacteria; Pseudomonadati; Pseudomonadota; Betaproteobacteria; Burkholderiales; Comamonadaceae.
AUUGAACGCUGGCGGCAUGCCUUACACAUGCAAGUCGAACGGCAGCACGGGAGCAAUCCUGGUGGCGAGUGGCGAACGGGUGAGUAAUACAUCGGAACGUGCCCAAUCGUGGGGGAUAACGCAGCGAAAGCUGUGCUAAUACCGCAUACGAUCUACGGAUGAAAGCAGGGGAUCGCAAGACCUUGCGCGAAUGGAGCGGCCGAUGGCAGAUUAGGUAGUUGGUGAGGUAAAGGCUCACCAAGCCGUCGAUCUGUAGCUGGUCUGAGAGGACGACCAGCCACGCUGGGACUGAGACACGGCCCAGACUCCUACGGGAGGCAGCAGUGGGGAAUUUUGGACAAUGGGCGAAAGCCUGAUCCAGCCAUGCCGCGUGCAGGAUGAAGGCCUUCGGGUUGUAAACUGCUUUUGUACGGAACGAAACGGCCUUUUCUAAUAAAGAGGGCUAAUGACGGUACCGUAAGAAUAAGCACCGGCUAACUACGUGCCAGCAGCCGCGGUAAUACGUAGGGUGCAAGCGUUAAUCGGAAUUACUGGGCGUAAAGCGUGCGCAGGCGGUUAUGUAAGACAGUUGUGAAAUCCCCGGGCUCAACCUGGGAACUGCAUCUGUGACUGCAUAGCUAGAGUACGGUAGAGGGGGAUGGAAUUCCGCGUGUAGCAGUGAAAUGCGUAGAUAUGCGGAGGAACACCGAUGGCGAAGGCAAUCCCCUGGACCUGUACUGACGCUCAUGCACGAAAGCGUGGGGAGCAAACAGG